GACGAACGCUGGCGGCGUGCCUAAUACAUGCAAGUCGAACGAGAGCGACCGGUGCUUGCACUGGUCAAUCUAGUGGCGAACGGGUGAGUAACACGUGGGUAACCUGCCCAUCAGAGGGGGAUAACAUCCGGAAACGGAUGCUAAAACCGCAUAGGUCUUCGAGCCGCAUGGCUUGAAGAGGAAAAGAGGCGCAAGCUUCUGCUGAUGGAUGGACCCGCGGUGCAUUAGCUAGUUGGUGAGGUAACGGCUCACCAAGGCCGUGAUGCAUAGCCGACCUGAGAGGGUGAUCGGCCACAUUGGGACUGAGACACGGCCCAAACUCCUACGGGAGGCAGCAGUAGGGAAUCUUCCGCAAUGGACGCAAGUCUGACGGAGCAACGCCGCGUGAGUGAAGAAGAUUUUCGGAUCGUAAAACUCUGUUGUUAGAGAAGAACAAGUGCUAGAGUAACUGUUAGCGCCUUGACG
RNAcentral lists this ribosomal RNA (465 nucleotides) under Granulicatella adiacens. RNAcentral describes it as "bacterial SSU rRNA". It matches the Rfam family "Bacterial small subunit ribosomal RNA", at positions 28 to 474 of the family's 1533-position model. Lineage: Bacteria; Bacillati; Bacillota; Bacilli; Lactobacillales; Carnobacteriaceae. The record is from RNAcentral.